Molecule: non-coding RNA, 87 nt
Organism: Mycena amicta
Lineage: Eukaryota; Fungi; Basidiomycota; Agaricomycetes; Agaricales; Mycenaceae
Source: the annotation of a GenBank genome assembly
AGUCCUGUGGUCUAAAGGGUACGACACCGCCAUGCUUUUUCUGAAGCAGGGAGGCGGAGGAUACGAGUUCGAGUCUCGUCAGGGCUA